This 511-nucleotide ribosomal RNA is filed under the name uncultured bacterium. RNAcentral describes it as "partial 16S ribosomal RNA". It matches the Rfam family "Bacterial small subunit ribosomal RNA", at positions 28 to 507 of the family's 1533-position model. The record is from RNAcentral.
GAUGAACGCUGGCGGCGUGCCUAAUACAUGCAAGUCGAACGAAGCUUCUUUAUCACCGAGUGCUUGCACUCACCGAUAAAGAGUUGAGUGGCGAACGGGUGAGUAACACGUGGGCAACCUGCCCAAAAGAGGGGGAUAACACUUGGAAACAGGUGCUAAUACCGCAUAACCAUAGUUACCGCAUGGUAACUAUGUAAAAGGUGGCUAUACUACCGCUUUUGGAUGGGCCCGCGGCGCAUUAGCUAGUUGGUAGGGUAAAGGCUUACCAGGCAAUGAUGCGUAGCCGAAUUGAGAGGUUGAUCGGCCACAUUGGGACUGAGACACGGCCCAAACUCCUACGGGAGGCAGCAGUAGGGAAUCUUCCACAAUGGGCGAAAGCCUGAUGGAGCAACGCCGCGUGGGUGAAGAAGGUCUUCGGAUCGUAAAACCCUGUUGUUAGAGAAGAAAGUGCGUGAGAGUAACUGUUCACGUUUCGACGGUAUCUAACCAGAAAGCCACGGCUAACUACGUG